This 258-nucleotide ribosomal RNA is filed under the name Burkholderia sp. ISOM471_OTU134. Its description in RNAcentral is "partial 16S ribosomal RNA". It matches the Rfam family "Bacterial small subunit ribosomal RNA", at positions 30 to 289 of the family's 1533-position model. The record is from RNAcentral. Lineage: Bacteria; Pseudomonadati; Pseudomonadota; Betaproteobacteria; Burkholderiales; Burkholderiaceae.
UUGAACGCUGGCGGCAUGCCUUACACAUGCAAGUCGAACGGCAGCACGGGGGCAACCCUGGUGGCGAGUGGCGAACGGGUGAGUAAUACAUCGGAACGUGUCCUGUAGUGGGGGAUAGCCCGGCGAAAGCCGGAUUAAUACCGCAUACGCUCUACGGAGGAAAGGGGGGGAUCUUAGGACCUCCCGCUACAGGGGCGGCCGAUGGCAGAUUAGCUGGUUGGUGGGGUAAAGGCCUACCAAGGCGACGAUCUGUAGCUG